GAUGAACGCUAGCUACAGGCUUAACACAUGCAAGUCGAGGGGCAGCAUUUCAGUUUUGCUUGCAAACUGGAGAUGGCGACCGGCGCACGGGUGAGUAACACGUAUCCAACCUGCCGAUAACUCGGGGAUAGCCUUUCGAAAGAAAGAUUAAUACCCGAUGGUAUAAUCAGACCGCAUGGUCUUGUUAUUAAAGAAUUUCGGUUAUCGAUGGGGAUGCGUUCCAUUAGGCAGUUGGUGAGGUAACGGCUCACCAAACCUUCGAUGGAUAGGGGUUCUGAGAGGAAGGUCCCCCACAUUGGAACUGAGACACGGUCCAAACUCCUACGGGAGGCAGCAGUGAGGAAUAUUGGUCAAUGGGCGCAGGCCUGAACCAGCCAAGUAGCGUGAAGGAUGACUGCCCUAUGGGUUGUAAACUUCUUUUAUAUGGGAAUAAAGUUUUCCACGUGUGGAAUUUUGUAUGUACCAUAUGAAUAAGGAUCGGCUAACUCCGUGCCAGCAGCCGCGGUAAUACGGAGGAUCCGAGCGUUAUCCGGAUUUAUUGGGUUUAAAGGGAGCGUAGGUGGACAGUUAAGUCAGUUGUGAAAGUUUGCGGCUCAACCGUAAAAUUGCAGUUGAUACUGGCUGUCUUGAGUACAGUAGAGGUGGGCGGAAUUCGUGGUGUAGCGGUGAAAUGCUUAGAUAUCACGAAGAACUCCGAUUGCGAAGGCAGCUCACUGGACUGCAACUGACACUGAUGCUCGAAAGUGUGGGUAUCAAACAGGAUUAGAUACCCUGGUAGUCCACACAGUAAACGAUGAAUACUCGCUGUUUGCGAUAUACAGUAAGCGGCCAAGCGAAAGCAUUAAGUAUUCCACCUGGGGAGUACGCCGGCAACGGUGAAACUCAAAGGAAUUGACGGGGGCCCGCACAAGCGGAGGAACAUGUGGUUUAAUUCGAUGAUACGCGAGGAACCUUACCCGGGCUUAAAUUGCAUUUGAAUAUAUUGGAAACAGUAUAGCCGUAAGGCAAAUGUGAAGGUGCUGCAUGGUUGUCGUCAGCUCGUGCCGUGAGGUGUCGGCUUAAGUGCCAUAACGAGCGCAACCCUUAUCUUUAGUUACUAACAGGUCAUGCUGAGGACUCUAGAGAGACUGCCGUCGUAAGAUGUGAGGAAGGUGGGGAUGACGUCAAAUCAGCACGGCCCUUACGUCCGGGGCUACACACGUGUUACAAUGGGGGGUACAGAAGGCAGCUACCUGGUGACAGGAUGCUAAUCCCAAAAGCCUCUCUCAGUUCGGAUCGAAGUCUGCAACCCGACUUCGUGAAGCUGGAUUCGCUAGUAAUCGCGCAUCAGCCAUGGCGCGGUGAAUACGUUCCCGGGCCU
This 1360-nucleotide ribosomal RNA is filed under the name uncultured bacterium. RNAcentral's name for it is "bacterial SSU rRNA". It matches the Rfam family "Bacterial small subunit ribosomal RNA", at positions 28 to 1381 of the family's 1533-position model. The record is from RNAcentral.